Molecule: ribosomal RNA, 775 nt
Filed under: uncultured Neocallimastigales
Lineage: Eukaryota; Fungi; Neocallimastigomycota; Neocallimastigomycetes; Neocallimastigales
Description: partial large subunit ribosomal RNA
Rfam family: Eukaryotic large subunit ribosomal RNA
Source: RNAcentral
UACUAGAGUAGCACUCGCAUAUCAAUAAGCGGAGGAAAAGAAACUAACUAGGAUUCCCUCAGUAACGGCGAGUGAAGCGGGAAGAGCUCAAAUUUGAAAUCUUCAAGGUUCUGACCUUGACGAAUUGUAGUUUAAAGAAGUGUUUUCGGUUAGGAGUUUGGUAAAAGUUCUUUGGAAUAGGACAUCAUAGAGGGUGAGAAUCCCGUAUUUGACCAUUAUUUCUAGCUUUGUGAUACACUUUCAAAGAGUCGGAUUGUUUGGGAAUGCAGUCCAAAAUGGGUGGUAAAUUUCAUCUAAAGCUAAAUACUGGCGAGAGACCGAUAGCGAACAAGUACCGUGAGGGAAAGAUGAAAAGAACUUUGAAAAGAGAGUUAAACAGUACGUGAAAUUGUCAAAAGGGAAGCGUUUGACACCAGUGUUGUUUUCUCGAAAAUCAAUUAAAAAUGGCGGGAUUUUGUGUUGUAUUGACUUUAUCAGCUUUCUGCACUUUUUUCCUGUCUUUUUUAAUGCACUUUUCGUUUAACAAGUCAACAUCAAUUUCUUUUGUUGUAAAAGGGUCAUUGGAAGGUGGCUUUCUUUUCGGAGAAAGUAUUUAUAGCCUUUGGCCUCUGCAAUCGAAGAGAUUGAGGUCUGCAGCGUAGAUCCUUCGGGGUUAGAUGCAUUUGUGCUAAGCUAUAGCCUUUCAUAGACAACUUGUUGACUAUGAUCAGUCAUGUAGCUUACUCGCUUAUGUCAUUUUACCUACGCUUAGGAUGUUGAAGAUGUAGCACAUCAU